ACAGCGAGAGCUCCGGCAGCCGGCGCCUCCCGCCCGCCCGUCUCCGCCGCUCCCUCCGCCGCCGGGCCGGGCCAGACCACCGCGGGGCGCCGGGGGUGGGAGGGGACGGAGAGGGAUGAUGUCAAUGAAAACGUAUCUGUAGAGGUGAAUCACAAAAUGAAGAUGAGUAAUCAGAAGAAAAGCAGCAUCAUACUAUUAAAAAUUAAGACGCUCCGGACCGACUGUGGAUCUUCAGAAUCUGACGAGUCAGGAGUUUUCUAAGGUCUGUGGUUACUGUAUCACCAGAAUGCCCUCCAAGUAAAAGGUUCCAAAAGUAAGCCCUUCUGACAGUGAAAGAUAACUUGAAGCAGCCAAAUAUAAAUGUGAAGAUCUACAUCCAACCGAUACAUCUAAGCAUCUAUGUAGAUAUAUGCCAGAUCCAUAUCCAGCUGGCUGUGGGAGAUACAUCAGUAGAAACAAUGGCAGAGAUGUUGGGAAGAAAAGGAGUCUGUUCUGAGAUCCCAAUUGCUCUACAGUAGAAAAUAUCAGGAUGGUAAUGCAACUGUUGUGAUGUGACUGUUUGGUCACAUUAGUCACAUCUAAAGGCACUUUGGCUGUGACAGGUGUAUAAAAAACACUGGACGGAUGCCUCAGCAACAAGUCUGCGUGAGAGGGAAUGAAAAGAGUCAGAAGCUGUUACUCCCGGAAACCAAUAAAAGAAAAACCCAACAAAAACCUGUUAGCAUUAUUUGUAUUGUAUUGCGUGGUGUUCUUAGCCAAAUCAGAUGUGGUGAUGGCUGGAUUUCUCAAGACAUGCAGUGUAGUACAACAGAAUUUGUAAAAAUGCCAGAAGAAACAUUCUGCAUGCCGGCAUCACCGAUGUCACCAAGUGCAAAGUCAUGCUGCGUGCUAGCUUAGUCAGAAAUCCCAUUGAAUUAAUCUAUGGCAGAAUGUUCAAUCUGCAGAAGCUCAUAUUAGCAGUUAUAUGAGAAGGAGGGGAACCAAAAUUAUAUAGGGCAGAAAUCAAUUAUAAAUGUUGAGCGUCUUUUUGUUUCCAGGCCCAUUUAGCAAUGUUAUUGUCAAGAAAUUAAAGCAGUUUAGCAGAAGGAUGAGUUAGCGCCAUGUGCGUACUUAUGGUUCUGAAUUAUGCAUUGAGAAAUCUGCAAUCUCUUGUAACUGGCCUGCAUGUUCCCAAGCUGUGAUCAUUAGAUGUGUCCGAGUCAAUUUGUGCAGCCCUACCAAUCAUCUUUCUCGCUGGUGGGAUCCUCCAGUGGCAGAACAUGGGUGUUCAUGCCCUCGACAGCACCUCCCACCUCUCUCCCUAAUUGCAGUGACAAAAAGGAUGUGGUGGAAAGCCUCGGUAGCUGGCGGUGUCAUUACUAAUAACAUAGAGCCGCUGACGGCUUAAGAGGCAGAGGCACAUAAUGGCUCUUACAAUUUGUGUCAGAGUGGUGUUUGUACCUUCCUUCCUUGGGACCCAAGCAGCUCAGAACACCCACAGGCCACUUUGUAUCCUUCCCUCUUGCAUUUUCUGCUGCUCAGCUGCAACUGAGGACUGGAAUUCAGAUGCGUCUGCUCAAGGUUGGGCAGUAUGGUGUGCCUCUGCUCCCAACAGCUCAGUGGAGGCUUUCUGAGUGCUAGAGCGAUGGCUCACCCAGGCAUUAACCAGAAGAGAAUGUGUUUCUGCUUAGCAUCAGCCAGAUGCAAGAGGUUUGGCAGGCUUCUCCCAAGCAAACCCAGCUGAAGCUGGUCUCAUAUCGUCAGCACGGAUCACCCUCAAUACAGGAUGAGGAGGAUGCGUGACUAAUGUUCUGGAGACACUGGGGGAAUCCAAAAGCUUCAAAGAGCAGAAUAAUCCAUCCUCUCACUCUGAGGCUUCCCCAUCGUCUCUGAAACAGCCUUCCAUUUUGCAGCCUUUGUUUCUCUGCAAAUUCUGUAUUGAAGACAAAAACUGAGCUCAGAUCUUCAGAUCUUCAUGUUUCACGACAGACAGUAUCCUAAGGCAGCAGAGAUUACACAAGAUCACUUUGGCAUUCUUUUAUGCUCUGAGAAUAGCAUAAUGCAGGAUGCACAUCAGAGAGGUUUCUGGAGUGGGGGGAAGUGGUUUUCUCGGUGGUUUAGGGUUUUUUCAAGGUUAUUGUUCAUUUUACUUAAUGUGUCCAUAGAGUUUGGGUUUUGAAUAUGUAGGAAAAGUUUUUUUACUUUCCUUGCCGGAAUUAUUUUCUGUAGAACUCAUAUAGAAAGAAAAUGCAAUUUACUGCAUAAUAGAAGUGAGAGAAUUGCAAAAACAAAGCACUUUCAGAGAGAAAGCUAAUGCCUUCCCUGGUGGCAGUGACAGGGUUUCCAGAAACAAAUGGUGGGCUAAAAGAAAAUGGCUGACAGUGUGCUCCUGUUAACAGCCCUGUUAACUUCAUCAAAACAAAAGUGAAUUAAAUAACUUAACGUAUUAUUCUCAUCACUGAUUAUGCUAAUCUAAUUUAGAAAUGUGUAUUUUGCUUUAGACCAGACACGGGGCUGAUGUCUGUACCAACUCCAUGGGAUUGAUCAAGAUGAGGACCAGACUGUUUUAAGGACAGAUAAAAUAUAUUGACUGGUAUAAUUCUUCCUGUUCUUCCCUUACCCCCAAGUCAUUUUCAGUCUCGGGUCGCCACGCGUCAGCUGGCUGCUGAAGUCUUGCAUAGCACACCAUUAAAGA
This is a long non-coding RNA of Gallus gallus (chicken), 2674 nucleotides long. RefSeq lists it as uncharacterized. Lineage: Eukaryota; Metazoa; Chordata; Aves; Galliformes; Phasianidae. The transcript is spliced from 3 exons. The record is from RefSeq and is a predicted model, not a curated record.